UGCUUCACGCAGUGGCAGUAUCGUAGCUAAUGAGGUAUAUCUGAGGCGCCAUUAUUGCUCAUUAAAAAGCUCACCAGUGGGUGACAGCAACUAAAGUUGUGUUUACCGUUUUACUCAGUUGAGAGCUAUUUUGUGAUAUUUGCUUUAUCCA
Small nuclear RNA from Myotis lucifugus (little brown bat), 151 nucleotides. Its record names the gene U4. It matches the Rfam family "U4 spliceosomal RNA". From Rfam's summary of the family: U4 small nuclear RNA (U4 snRNA) is a component of the major U2-dependent spliceosome. The structure of U4 snRNA from yeast and human has been reported. The record is from Ensembl. Lineage: Eukaryota; Metazoa; Chordata; Mammalia; Chiroptera; Vespertilionidae.